CCGCAUAAACGUCUUCGGACCAAAGUGGGGGACCUUCGGGCCUCACGCCAUCGGAUGUGCCCAGAUGGGAUUAGCUAGUAGGUGGGGUAAUGGCUCACCUAGGCGACGAUCCCUAGCUGGUCUGAGAGGAUGACCAGCCACACUGGAACUGAGACACGGUCCAGACUCCUACGGGAGGCAGCAGUGGGGAAUAUUGCACAAUGGGCGCAAGCCUGAUGCAGCCAUGCCGCGUGUGUGAAGAAGGCCUUCGGGUUGUAAAGCACUUUCAGCGAGGAGGAAGGCAURAAGGUUAAUAACCUUUGUGAUUGACGUUACUCGCAGAAGAAG
RNAcentral lists this ribosomal RNA (327 nucleotides) under Yersinia enterocolitica. RNAcentral's name for it is "bacterial SSU rRNA". It matches the Rfam family "Bacterial small subunit ribosomal RNA", at positions 169 to 490 of the family's 1533-position model. Lineage: Bacteria; Pseudomonadati; Pseudomonadota; Gammaproteobacteria; Enterobacterales; Yersiniaceae. The record is from RNAcentral.